Molecule: unclassified non-coding RNA, 272 nt
Filed under: plant metagenome
Description: partial contains small subunit ribosomal RNA, internal transcribed spacer 1, and 5.8S ribosomal RNA
Source: RNAcentral
UUUCCGUAGGUGAACCUGCGGAAGGAUCAUUAAUGAGUUGUCAUGGGGUUCGAUGCUGGCAGCCAGUUUUUGGAUGCAUGUGCUUGCCCUAACAAUCAUCUUCUUCCAAACACCUGUGCACAUUUUUGAGGGAGUCUUGAGUUGGUUGCCGCUCUUGGGUGAUUUUCUCACAUUCCCUUAAAUCAUUAUACGCUAUUAACAAUGUUGAACGUGCUCUGUGCCGCAAGGCUAUUAAUAUAAUACAACUUUUAACAACGGAUCUCUUGGCUCUC